UACAGAGGUCUCAAGCGUUGUUCGGAUUCAUUGGGCGUAAAGGGUGCGUAGGUGGCGCCGUAAGUCGGGUGUGAAAUUUCGGAGCUUAACUCCGAAACUGCAUUCGAUACUGUGGUGCUUGAGGACUGGAGAGGAGACUGGAAUUCAUGGUGUAGCAGUGAAAUGCGUAGAGAUCAUGAGGAAGACCAGUGGCGAAGGCGGGUCUCUGGACAGUUCCUGACACUGAGGCACGAAGGCCAGGGGAGCAAACGGG
RNAcentral lists this ribosomal RNA (253 nucleotides) under uncultured bacterium. Its description in RNAcentral is "partial 16S ribosomal RNA". It matches the Rfam family "Bacterial small subunit ribosomal RNA", at positions 524 to 776 of the family's 1533-position model. The record is from RNAcentral.